GUGAGUAGUUCAGAGUUUGAUCCUGGCUCAGGAUGAACGCUAGCUACAGGCUUAACACAUGCAAGUCGAGGGGCAGCGUGAGGGUUAGCAAUAACCCUUGACGGCGACCGGCGCAAGGGUGCGUAACGCGUGAGCAACUUGCCCUUAUCGAGGGGGAUAACCGGUGGAAGCGCCGACUAAUACCCCGUGGCAUCACAAUGAGGCAUUCUUUUUUGUGAUUAAAGAAUUUCGGAUAAGGAUAGGCUCGCGUGACAUUAGCUAGACGGGCGGGGUAACCGGCCCACCGUGGCUACGAUGUCGUAGGGGUUCUGAGAGGAACGGUCCCCCACACUGGAACUGAGAAACGGUCCAG
RNAcentral lists this ribosomal RNA (352 nucleotides) under uncultured bacterium. Its description in RNAcentral is "bacterial SSU rRNA". It matches the Rfam family "Bacterial small subunit ribosomal RNA", at positions 1 to 334 of the family's 1533-position model. The record is from RNAcentral.